This 521-nucleotide ribosomal RNA is filed under the name uncultured bacterium. RNAcentral describes it as "bacterial SSU rRNA". It matches the Rfam family "Bacterial small subunit ribosomal RNA", at positions 8 to 518 of the family's 1533-position model. The record is from RNAcentral.
AGAGUUGAUCCUGGCUCAGAACGAACGCUGGCGGCGCGUCUUAAGCAUGCAAGUCGAACGGCAAGAGGUAGCAAUACCUCCUAGAGUGGCGGACUGGUGAGUAACACGUGGGUGACAUACCCUUCAGAUGGGGAUAGCUAUUAGAAAUAGUAGAUAAUACCGAAUACGAGCACAGGGGUUAGAGAUCUGUGAGGAAAGGAGCUAAGGCUCCGCUGAAGGAAUGGCCUGCGGCCCAUUAGCUAGUUGGUGAGGUAAGAGCCCACCAAGGCGAUGAUGGGUAUCCGGCCUUAGAGGGUGAACGGACACAUUGGGACUGAGAUACGGCCCAGACUCCUACGGGAGGCAGCAGCUAAGAAUAUUCCGCAAUGGACGAAAGUCUGACGGAGCGACGCCGCCGUGGAUGAAGAAGGCCGGAAGGUUGUAAAAUCCUUUUGAAACUGAAGAAUAAGCGUUGUAGGGAAUGACAGCGUGGUGACAGUAGGUUUUGAAUAAGCAACGGCUAAUUACGUGCCAGCCGCCGC